ACCGGCCUACGGGGCGCAGCAGUGAGGAAUAUUGGUCAAUGGUCGGGAGACUGAACCAGCCAAGCCGCGUGAGGGAGGAAGGUACAGAGUAUCGUAAACCUCUUUUGUCAGGGAACAAAGGCGGGGACGUGUCCCCGGAUGAGUGUACCUGAAGGAAAAGCAUCGGCUCACUCCGUGCCAGCAGCCGCGGUAAUACGGAGGAUGCGAGCGUUAUCCGGAUUUAUUGGGUUUAAAGGGUGCGCAGGCGGUCUGUUAAGUCAGCGGUCAAAGCCCGGGGCUCAACCCCGGCCCGCCGUUGGAACUGG
RNAcentral lists this ribosomal RNA (305 nucleotides) under uncultured bacterium. RNAcentral's name for it is "bacterial SSU rRNA". It matches the Rfam family "Bacterial small subunit ribosomal RNA", at positions 333 to 636 of the family's 1533-position model. The record is from RNAcentral.